GACGAACGCUGGCGGCGUGCUUAACACAUGCAAGUCGAACGGAAAGGCCCUGCUUUUGUGGGGUGCUCGAGUGGCGAACGGGUGAGUAACACGUGAGUAACCUGCCCUUGACUUUGGGAUAACUUCAGGAAACUGGGGCUAAUAUCGGAUAGGAGCUCCUGCUGCAUGGUGGGGGUUGGUAAGUUUCGGCGGUUGGGGAUGUACUCGCGGCUUAUCAGCUUGUUGGUGGGGUAGUGGCUUACCAAGGCUUUGACGGGUAGCCUGCCUGAGAGGGUGACCGGCGACAUGGGGACUAAGGUACGGCGCAGACGGCAACGGGAGGCAGCAGUGGAGAAUAUUGCAGAAUGAGCGGAAGCCUGAUGCAGAAACGCCGCGAGCGGGAAGACGGCCUACGGGUUAUAAACCGAUUUGGCCGGUGACGAAGCGGGAGUGACGGUAAUGGGUAAAAAAGCACCGGCUAACUACGUG
This 468-nucleotide ribosomal RNA is filed under the name uncultured bacterium. Its description in RNAcentral is "partial 16S ribosomal RNA". It matches the Rfam family "Bacterial small subunit ribosomal RNA", at positions 28 to 507 of the family's 1533-position model. The record is from RNAcentral.